RNAcentral lists this unclassified non-coding RNA (1374 nucleotides) under Hevea brasiliensis (rubber tree). Lineage: Eukaryota; Viridiplantae; Streptophyta; Magnoliopsida; Malpighiales; Euphorbiaceae. The record is from RNAcentral.
GUUUUACAUCUUAAUAGAACUGAUACACGACUUGCCAAUAAUCGUCAACCUCUGGAGAUUCAGAAGUUGCGCUGUCGUGUAAAUUUUAGUGCUCUGAGAUUUACUUCUCAGAUAGAGGAGUUGGGUAAAAGAGUUAUAAAUCUUCUUANUAUAAAGCUUCUUAGGCAAAAUGGUCCAUUUCUAGUACUUCACCUCAGAUAUGAGAUGGACAUGCUGGCCUUUUCUGGUUGUACUCAAGGUUGCAACAAUGAGGAGGUAGAAGAAUUGACAAGAAUGAGAUAUGCUUAUCCUUGGUGGAAAGAGAAAAUAAUAAAUUCUGACUUGAAAAGGAAAGAUGGGUUGUGCCCUUUGACACCAGAGGAAACAACCCUUACAUUGAGGGCAUUGGACAUAGAUCCAAAUAUGCAGAUCUAUAUUGCAGCGGGUGAGAUAUAUGGUGGAGAAAGGAGAAUGGCAAGUCUUGCAGCAGCUUAUCCAAAACUGGUCAGAAAGGAAACUCUGUUGGAAUCAUCAGACCUUAGAUUUUUCCAGAAUCACUCAUCCCAGAUGGCAGCUUUAGAUUAUCUUGUUUCAUUGGAAAGUGAUAUUUUUGUCCCCACAUACGACGGAAACAUGGCUAAAGUUGUUGAAGGCCAUAGGCGAUUCCUUGGGUUCAAGAAGACAAUUUUACUGGACAGAAGGCUUUUGGUUGAUCUGAUAGACAGGUUCAACAAUGGAUCACUGAGUUGGGAUGAGUUCUCUUAUGCUGUGAAAGAAUCACAUGCAAAUCGGAUGGGGAACCCAGUAAAUAGGUUGGUGAUUCCAGACAGGCCAAAAGAGGAGGAUUACUUCUAUUCCAACCCAGAAGAGUGCUUACUGUCUUCAGAGGAUCCCUUGGAUCCUUUGAGUAGCACGUGACAAAUAUUUAGGAGAUUGUGAUGUUUAUUCUACCACAGAUCAAAGGUUAGUUCGCUACGCAGGAGUAACAGUGAUAAAGGAAGAUUUUGCAAUGAAGAGGCAAUCAAGAAGAUAAUAUGUGGGUGGUGAACUUGAAGAAAGCCGAAAAUGAUCUAUGGGAGCGUUUUUAGGACGUUGUCAUCGUUAAGUAUAUGCCAAUAAUCCAAUUCAUGUAUAGAAGCUUCCCCUGCCAUUACAGGGUGAUGUCAAAUCAACAAAAUCGGAUUGUACACAAAGGGAUGCAAAUAUAGAUGUUGUGGUUUACCAGAAAUGUGGCCUCAAUGAAGGUUACUUCAUCAUCCUUCUGCUUUGUACUUUUUUUUUUUCCUUGGUUCGUUUAUGAUAUUGUGAGUUUCUAGCAAAUAUCAAAUUUUAGAAAUUUCUGUUCCAGUAUUACUGAAAUGGAUGUUUACCCCUCUCUCUCUCUCUCUCUCUCUC